GUGCAAUUUUAAACUCGAUCUUGAGGAUUAAAUCGAGAGAUGAAAUAAAUAUCAACGGACGUGACAGCGUCCCAUGCAUAUCCAGAAAUUAUUUUAUAAGGUAUCUUUAUAGGACUUUUAUAAUGUGAUGCAAUAUAAAUUUAUAGAAAGCAUGUCAAAGGAUUUCAAACUGUUUGCGAUUAUAAUCACGACAGGGAGAUCAGCUAAAGAAUAACAAGUUCAAAAUGUCCACUCUAUCUAAAUUUAGAACAAUAUUAAUAUCACUGCUGAUCGACAGUCAACAAGACAUUGAAUCGAGAUCGUGACUGGUUGAGAUUGGAAAGGGUAGAUACUGACGAUUGGAACGGGAGCUGGAAGACAGGACUUACGCGGAAAUAUGAAGAAAUAUACAAGGAGAAAAUGCACAAAUAGACGGUUGUUUUCCAAUAUGGAAUUAGUAUUGUAUAUUUUACAAAGUAAAUAGAAUAUAAACAAUCUAAAGUCGUCUAAAACA
Molecule: long non-coding RNA, 493 nt
Organism: Ooceraea biroi (clonal raider ant)
Lineage: Eukaryota; Metazoa; Arthropoda; Insecta; Hymenoptera; Formicidae
Source: RefSeq, a predicted model, not a curated record